RNAcentral lists this long non-coding RNA (585 nucleotides) under Ananas comosus (pineapple). RNAcentral's name for it is "long non-coding RNA (ACOM_LNC035422)". Lineage: Eukaryota; Viridiplantae; Streptophyta; Magnoliopsida; Poales; Bromeliaceae. The record is from RNAcentral.
AUUCAAAAGUUAUUACAUAGCUGUUUCUUGUAGAUCAAAUUGUCGGAUCGUUGACGCUAAUCAUUAAUUCCAAAAGUUUGAGUUAUUAGAAAUACACAAUCAAUUCAAUUAAAGCGUACAGAUACAGCACCCACGGUUUACGAUUGUGAUUCGACCCAACCAAUCUUUAUGCCACUUCGAACAUGAUUUGACCCAACCCAGCCUCACGCCAUUUCGAAUAUGACUCGGCUAAUAUGGCCUCCCAUCACAGGGCAGGAUACUGACCCAUUUAAGCCAACAAUCCCCCUCCAACACCUAACCCGUGACCACUGGCUCUGAUACCACUUGUCGGAUCGUUGACAUUAACCGUUAAUCCCAAAAGCUCGAACUAUUAUAAAUACGUAACCAAUUCAUUUAAAGCGUACAGAUACAGCGCUCCCGGAUCUCGAUUGUGACUCGACCCGACCAACCUCACGCCACUUUAAAUAUGACUUGGCCCAAUCCAACCUCAUGCCAUUUCGAAUAUGACUCGACCCACAUGACCUCCCGCCGCAGGAUAGGCCCAUUUAAGCCAACACAAAUAACAACACCCCUUCGUGCAUUGUC